This is a non-coding RNA of Cinara cedri, 1158 nucleotides long. NCBI's taxonomy places the organism in Eukaryota, Metazoa, Arthropoda, Insecta, Hemiptera, Aphididae. The record is from the annotation of a GenBank genome assembly.
CAAACAGAAAAAAAGUUCGAAAACCGCCACUGAUAUUAUUCUCUUCGCAUUAUUAUAAUUUAUGCAUGACGUACGUUCGUCACAGUACAACGACAUAGAAUUCGUAUUAUUUAAUUUCGUUACAAAUAAAAAUUAAUAGAUUGCGGCUACGUGUACACGUAUUUUAUUCUAUGGUAAUAAAUAUUAUGACAUGUAAUUCUAUAAAAUUUUUAUUGUGUUAAACGUUUAACUGAAUGCAGCUAAUAUCGAUACGAUUACCCGAACAUAAUUAUAUUAUUAUUUAUAGAGAUAAUUAUAGAUAGAUAGAUAGAUAGUAUAUCUAUUAUAAUAUUUAAUGAUAUUGAAAAAUUACCGUAUUCGAUUACUAUGUAGAAAACGCAAUCAAGCUUACAAAAUUCUCUCGAGGGAAUAUAAUAUUUACUUAUUUCACUCGCGGAAGAAUUAAAAGUAUACGCAAUGGAAAUCAAACAAAAAUCCAUAUUGAUAUGGUUUUCUUUUAGAUUCUGAAUAAAGCAAAGAAGCUUAUGAUUUACAAAGAUGUUUAUUUUUUUGUUCUGCGGACAACUUUUCUACUAGGAAUCUUGCUCCAAUUUUUAUGUGUAACAUCUUUUCUGAAAAGAAAUCUGUGUGAAGAGGUACUUUAAAAAGGUCAUUUUUCAAUUUCCUCAAGAGUUUUCUCAUCAAAUGCGAGAAAAUCUGAGGAAAAAUGGAAAAAUGUACAAAGUAUAUUAGUAAAGUAUCAAGUUUUUUUUUUCUGUGGACAGAUUUUCUACCAACAAUUUUACUCAAAUUUAUAAUGAUAGCAAUGUUUCUAUAAAAAUUCUGACUGGAGAGGUACGUUAGAGAGGUUAUUUUUCAAUCUUCUCCGAAUUUUUUCCUGCAAAUCUGAAAACUGAGGAAAACUUGGGAAGCCCGAGAAAAACCUAGAAAAACCGAAAAAAUCGAUACAACAUUAAACAAAUAUUAUUAGAGAAAAUAUAUAAAGCCUAUUUAAUUAGUUUAGUAUAAUAUAGUAUAUAUAUAUAUAUAUUGUUGUCACUAUCAACUAAACUUCGCUCAGAAUCGUUUUUUCGAAAGCAAUGGAUUAUCGUUGCUUACAGGUAUACAUUAAAUUAAAAAUAACAAUGGCUGCACUCAUACCCAUUAUCCUAGAACGUC